ACCUUACGUCAGGCCCAUUUUCAGAUGAGGAAACUGAAACUUACAGAGGCUGAGUAAUAUGCCCAGGAUCUCACAGAAAAAUGAGUCUGAGUACCUAUCGGGCCAGGAAAGGAUGUGGGGAAACCUCAGAUGCAUACUACUAGGUGAAAAGAAGCCAAUCUGAAAAAGCUACAUGGCAUAGAAGUCCAACUACAAGACACGCUAGAAGACGCAAAACAUGGAGACGGUAAAAGGAUAAGGACCUGAGCCUGGAGGUGAUCUAGCUUGUCUGCUGGCCCUCAGUUAACCAAUGUCACACCUGGAUUAAAGUUUCUGGCUUCCUCACUCCUGGCGUCCACUGGUCUUUAUAUUGUUUUUUAUUUUUAAUUUUUAAAAUAUUUUAUUGUUUUGUUUCAUUUUAUUUUUUUAGAACUCGGACCUGUAGCCAGGUCGGGUGGCACCUGCUUGUAAUUCCAGCACUCUGGGAAACUGAAGCAGGAAGAUCUCAAAUUUGAGCACAGACUAGGAAAUUUAGCAAGUUAGCAAGACUGUCUCAAAAUAAAACAUUAAGAAAAGGCCCAGGGCUGUAGUUCAGUGGAAAGAC
Molecule: long non-coding RNA, 583 nt
Organism: Heterocephalus glaber (naked mole-rat)
Lineage: Eukaryota; Metazoa; Chordata; Mammalia; Rodentia; Bathyergidae
Source: Ensembl